UGGGGAAUUUUGGACAAUGGGCGAAAGCCUGAUCCAGCAAUGCCGCGUGUGUGAAGAAGGCCUUCGGGUUGUAAAGCACUUUUGUCCGGAAAGAAAUCCUUGGCUCUAAUACAGUCGGGGGAUGACGGUACCGGAAGAAUAAGCACCGGCUAACUACGUGCCAGCAGCCGCGGUAAUACGUAGGGUGCAAGCGUUAAUCGGAAUUACUGGGCGUAAAGCGUGCGCAGGCGGUUUGCUAAGACCGAUGUGAAAUCCCCGGGCUCAACCUGGGAACUGCAUUGGUGACUGGCAGGCUAGAGUAUGGCAGAGGGGGGUAGAAUUCCACGUGUAGCAGUGAAAUGCGUAGAGAUGUGGAGGAAUACCGAUGGCGAAGGCAGCCCCCUGGGCAAGUACUGACGCUCAUGCACGAAAGCGUGGGGAGCAAACNGGAUUAAUNCCCUGGUAGUCCACG
This 451-nucleotide ribosomal RNA is filed under the name uncultured bacterium. RNAcentral describes it as "partial 16S ribosomal RNA". It matches the Rfam family "Bacterial small subunit ribosomal RNA", at positions 355 to 799 of the family's 1533-position model. The record is from RNAcentral.